GACCUCAAUCCGGNAGAUCCA
This 21-nucleotide ribosomal RNA is filed under the name uncultured Glomus. RNAcentral describes it as "partial 28S ribosomal RNA". Lineage: Eukaryota; Fungi; Glomeromycota; Glomeromycetes; Glomerales; Glomeraceae. The record is from RNAcentral.